Non-coding RNA from Oryzias latipes (Japanese medaka), 4075 nucleotides. Lineage: Eukaryota; Metazoa; Chordata; Actinopteri; Beloniformes; Adrianichthyidae. The record is from RefSeq and is a predicted model, not a curated record.
UUUUAGUUUAUUUUUAACUGCUUCUGCACGUGUGCUUUUAGAUGCGUGUCUGAGCGAGGGACAUGAUAGGGCCCCGUGUGUGAUCGUGUUGAUAUGGACACUCAUCCAGCUCCUCCCGACUCAGCCUCCAUCCACUUCACUGUGAUUAAUUAGGAAAGUGAGUGGAAUUACUUCAUCAGCAACCCAAGGGAGACGAUGAAAAUAUUUACAGAGCUCCCAGGACGGGAUUUCAUUAGGAGGUGCCUGGUGGUGAGUUGCCUCCUCUCUCUUCAUGCCGCCGCAGAGUGGGGAGUACUCUGAAACUUGACCCCUCAUGUCAAGUCACGUGGUGCCCAUUAAAUGCGAUAAUGUCAGUGACUAUGCAGACGUGAGGCCAAAAAUAAGCUGCUCAUUUUCUUACACAGAGAAUCAAAGCACAUAGCCUAAAGUAACGGGAGCUAAACUGCCUCAAAAUUUGCCAGACGUUGUGACAGCGCAGAGCUAAAGCUCAGUCCCACUGAGAGAGCACAAGUGAAGCUAAAGUGGGACAUUAACCAUUCUCGUCUCUCAAGGGUAGAAGCAUCCACCCACGCAGUCCUGGGAAAUUGGACUAUCCAACAAACAGAAGUCUCUGCAAUAACAAACUGUGGUUGUCAACCAUUUCUGCUCUCUGAAAAAUAAGCCACCUGUGAUCCAUUAAGUGAAAAGACGUGAUGUUAACGAUUGCUCGACUCUUUGUGUUCCUGUCUUGUGCAGCGUCAUAGACUGCAGCCAGGUAAUGUAUACAUGACAUUUAAAAGAAUGAAUUGCCAAUUAAUGCAAACACUGGAUUUUAUGAUCUUUACUCUUAUAUUAAAGGUGAAGUAAAACAUAAUAAUUCCAGCUUGUUAAUGAAAUUACAGUGAGACAGCACAACCUUUAAUUGAAUUUUUGUUUUUUUGGUUAUAAACCAUAAUUUUCUAUGUUUAAAAGUAGUGAAUUAUGUUUAUUCUAAUCUUUCAGAGUUUCUAGAGUUAUUAAAACAUCAUUGUCAUUGCUGUUUCCCUCUAUAGUUGUUUUCUCUGCAAGAAAUAUCUUUCUGCAGCUCUGUUUGUAUUUUUACAGCACUAUCAAAAUCCUCUGCCAACAGCAUCAGUCUCCAAACAAAGUUACAGAUCAUCCCGGGAGUAAACUCUGAGAGCCUUCAGCUUUUUUUUUUUUUAUAUUUGUUAGUCAAACAUUUAUUGAACCAGAAAGUCUCAGGUAAUUUGUAGAUUCAUUGAUUUAAUGUUUAACUGUUGUCUUUCAAAAGCUCAUUUUACAAACUCACACUGAAAAAGGCGAUGCCUGAACACACCACAAAACAGCAACUAAAUCAUCAAUUUCUAUCAAAAUAUAUCUUGAUGGAUUCUGCAAUCCUGUUUGAUAUGGAAAACUUUUAAGAUUGUUUUUUUUUUUUUACAUGUGGCGCAUAAGUGUAACAGCUGGUGUACAACUGUGCUGCGUAUUACACACAUUUAAGACCAGCAGCCUGAUGUCUUUCUUUGAGCUGAAAAAAAUGAUUCACAAUGUCAUUUCAAGUGUCUGAUUCAAUUGCCCAGUUUUUGUUUAGAUAUUGUUUAUCAUUUAUGACGUGUGCAUUCACUUGUGCAUUUUGCGCUGGAAAAAGAGAAAUUUAUCCCCAAAGAGCAAUUCCGUUGGCAACAAAUCAGUUGCAGGCAGGCAAAAACAAAACAAAACAGACAUCAUCCUUCAGUGAGUAAUCAGUGGUUGGUCAGUCAGUGCAGCUGGUUGUCCUUAAGAGUGUGCAUGACAUCAAAAUUAAAUUCACUGCAACAUCAGGAAAAUAUUUUGAAAGUGUUGAUUUAUCUCUGGGUAAAAAAACUUCUAAAACCUACAGUGGGGCAAAAAGGUUUUUAGUCUGCCACCAAUUGUGCAAGUUCUCCCACUUAAAACAAUGAAAGAGGCCUGUAAAUUUUCAUCAUAAAUAUAAAAGAAAUCCAGGAAAUUACAUUCUGCUUUUUUAAUAAUUUAUUUGUGAAAUUAAGGUGGAAAAUAAGUAUUUGGUCACCAACAAACAAUCAAGAUUUCUGACUCUCACAGAUCUAUAACGUCCUCUGUUAGAUGAUUGUCUGUCCUCCACCUGUAUUACAUGCACCUGUUUGAAUUUGUUAUCUUUAUAAAAGACAUCUGUCCACAACCUUUAAACAUUCACACUCCAAACUCCACUAUGGUCAAGACCAAAGAGAAGACUGAAUCUGCGAUAGGUAAGCAGCUUGGUGUGAAGAAAUCAACUGUGGGAGCAAUUAUUAGGAAAUGGAAGACAUACAAGAUCACUGAUAAUCUCCAUCCAUCUGGUGCUCCCCUCUAGAUUUCACCCCAUGGGAUAAAAAAUGAUCACAAGAACGGUGAGCAAAACUCCCAGAACCACAUGGAGGACCUAGUGAAUGACCUGCAGAGAGCUGGGACCAAAUUAACAAAGGCUACCAUCAGUAACACCCCCUGCUAAAACCAGUACAUGGGCAGGCCCAUCUAGAGUUUGCUAGAGAGCAUUUGGAUGAUCCAGAAGAGGAUUGGGAGAAUGUCCUAUGGUCAGAUGAAAAAAAUAACUUUAAUUACAAGUUUGUUUAAAUGUCUUUUCAUCAUUCAGACCGAACUUCACAGUCACUCAGUUCGCUGGUGCUAUAUGCUACCUAAUGUAAAUUUCCUGUUCAAGUGGGAAACGUGUUUAUUUGUUGUAGAACUGAGUUGUCAAAGGCUGAGCUGUUUCCUCGAAACGUGUUUGUCACACAUGAAUCUGUUUGUUACAACAGGGAUGAGAACUUGAGAAAAAAAAAGAUAACCAGCACCACUUUUCCCGUAGGACGGGGCUGUUUUUAGUGUCCUAAAGCCCCCAAGGCCACUGAGUCAGCUGAGUCCUCAAUGUUUCCAGUGGGACAUGUGGAGGUGCAGCACACUGCCCAUUUAUACCAAAGUGAAAGAGAUUGACAGAUAAAAAUAAGACCAAGUUGAAUUACUGAUGGUAGUUCUAAUUUUUGGUGGUAUUUUAUUUUUUGACCUUUUUUUCUACUUGCUCCUUUAUAAAAAAAAAAAGAAAAAAAAAAGGCAAAGGGUGAGAACAGCAUCGCUGUUCUUUUCACAUGAUGUUUACACAAGAGGAGGCUGGCAGGGCUCUGGAACAGGUUUCAGUGCUUCUUUUUCCUCGACACCCAUUCUCACAUGCAAACACACAGUUACACACACUUGUGGUUUGUGACAACAUUCAGCCAAGCUCCCAACUUAACAAUAGCAGCAGAGGGCCUCGAUGAUGGAUACACACAAACCCCUGUAUUUUCUUGGGAGACUAAAAAAAAAAUAGCAAGAACAAAUAUGACAAAAUACGUUCACGACGGGUUGAAUAAAUUCAAAGAUUUUCACACAAAAGAAUACUAAGUUGAAUGUAUUUGUUUCAGCUUCCACCAUCUGAGUUUCCUGUCAUAACAUAAUAAAAAAUCACUUUAAUAAACACAAACAAACCUAAGAGCAGCAUAGUCAUGUCUUCUUUUAUCUUCGUCUAUAAGCUUUUUGCUGAACAGAUGGCUACCUCAAGGAAGUAAAAUACAUCUACAUGACAUGUUUUAUUGAAUUGAAAAGUCAUCCAGCUGAUAAACCUCACGGACUGAAAGGAAGUAUAAAUGCAUUUUUAUCCCCUGCAGAUCUAAUUAAGAACUUAAGAAAUUUAUGGGAGAGGUUACAUUGUAAGAGAAGUAGCAAUCCUCCCCCACAAUCCCCUCUGUAUUUUUCCCCAUCCCUCCCAGAGCGUGGAUGUAAAAAGACAACCUUGGGGAGCAGAGACUUAAACAAUGUAGAAAGCCCUCACAGGCCUUCCAACUAACUUCCCUCCAAUCUCUAAGAAACUUCCUGUUUGUGCAGAAAAAGUUGUUGUCUUUUUAAAAAUCUGUCCUUUUGCUCUGAUCCUGAGGAGUGUGGCCACAGCACAAAUUCACAUAUCCAGGGUCAGCCUCUGGGUCUGUGAUUUCCGUGACGCCAAGCAGGAACUGAAAGUUAAGAGCAAAAGGGCAAUUUGGAGCCUUGCAACCCAGGUUUUGCAUCUAAUCCUGCCUUCUUCCAGUACCAA